RNAcentral lists this ribosomal RNA (425 nucleotides) under uncultured bacterium. Its description in RNAcentral is "bacterial SSU rRNA". It matches the Rfam family "Bacterial small subunit ribosomal RNA", at positions 355 to 794 of the family's 1533-position model. The record is from RNAcentral.
UGGGGAAUUUUUGCGCAAUGGGGGAAACCCUGACGCAGCAACGCCGCGUGGAGGAUGAAGUAUCUUGGUACGUAAACUCCUUUCGAUUGGGAAGAUAAUGACGGUACCAAUAGAAGAAGCCCCGGCUAACUUCGUGCCAGCAGCCGCGGUAAUACGAGGGGGGCAAGCGUUGUUCGGAUUUAUUGGGCGUAAAGGGUGCGUAGGCGGUUUGGCAAGUCUUAUGUGAAAUCUUCGGGCUCAACCCGAAGCCUGCAUAAGAAACUGCCGGGCUUGAGUAUGGGAGAGGUGAGUGGAAUUUUCCGGUGUAGCGGUGAAAUGCGUAGAUAUCGGAAGGAACACCUGUGGCGAAAGCGGCUCACUGGACCAUAACUGACGCUGAGGCACGAAAGCUAGGGGAGCAAACAGGAUUAGAUACCCCCAGUAGU